AUACCAUCCCACUCCCAUCCACACACAUUCAAGGGCAAGGUAGAAGAAAAGUAGUGUUGAAGUAUAGGAGCCCUUGCUUAAUCAUACGUGUCCAUGGUAGCCAGUUCCGGAAGAGAACCCGGAGGAGCCAGGAGACGAAGAACAUGACGCCGCGGACACGCAACUGAACGAAGGCAAGUCUCAUCGACCCCUUGCUUUUAUCAUGGUUGCUCCUAAGUGAGAAAAUAUAUAAAACUUGCUAGACAUAGUUGUUGCAUAAGAUGACACACCUGAUAUUGAGUGAACGAGAGAAACUAUGCAUUGAUGGCAUGAUCUAUGUUGAUUAUCUUAUACCUUGAUACUUGAUGAUACUGGAUGGAAAUGAGACCAGAGCAGCAUGGUAAGUGUUGGAGAAUGCGCUACCGUGGUGGUAGACUUGCGACCGAGGUGCCGUGGUGACAUCUCGGGUUUGCUAGUUUUGGUUGGUGGCUGCUCUGGUGAACCAUAAGGACUGUGUGUUGUGGUGCCAUCUCACCUAACUUAUUUCCUGUAUGACCACAUGAGCUUGUAUGGGAAAGCCUUAGCCUAAUCCCACUAGCUGGCCUGGUAGUCGUCUGAGGUGGAUAUGUUUUGGGUUGGAGACCUGAGUGGUUAGGACCCAGGGUUUGUGGGUGGCUAGGCGAGGUUGAGCCAUGUUUGGGUGUCAGCUAUUGAUAGAGCCAUCUUGGGACGGUGAUGUGCGUGUGGGUACAACGUACAACCUCUGCAGAGUGUAUAAUCCAUUCGAAUGGUCCGUGUCCUUGGUAUAGGACAGGUUAUGGUGUGGACACUUCAACUAGUUGAGCUACCUGACUUAUGAGAUGGAUAACGAGCAUGGAUAUAGUUCUAGUAUUGCACUUGUUAAUCAUGUUUAUUGAUCAUUGCAUACUAAUCUGUAACUCCCUCCGUGUAAAGGCGAGGUGGGACUUGCUGAGUACCUUUGUGCUCACCCAUUAUUUUUAUAGAGGAUCCUGAUUUCGUGCCCGAGGAAUUUUGAGUACUUUGUGCCCUAUACCCAAGUUUGGCGUGGUGCCGAUGCUAUAGAAGCCACCAUGUGGGAAGAAGAUACUACCCUCGUGUUUAUCGACUAUAGUUCUUCUAGUUGGUGUUAUUAUUGUAACCGAAUGUACUAAAUAAAGUUAUGUAUGACUAUGGCACCACUUGUGUAAUGUAUUUCACUA
Zea mays is the source of this 1199-nucleotide long non-coding RNA. RefSeq lists it as uncharacterized. Lineage: Eukaryota; Viridiplantae; Streptophyta; Magnoliopsida; Poales; Poaceae. The transcript is spliced from 2 exons. The record is from RefSeq and is a predicted model, not a curated record.